Molecule: transfer RNA, 72 nt
Filed under: Myxococcota bacterium
Lineage: Bacteria; Pseudomonadati; Myxococcota
Description: tRNA-Asn
Rfam family: tRNA
About the family: Transfer RNA (tRNA) molecules are approximately 80 nucleotides in length. Their secondary structure includes four short double-helical elements and three loops (D, anti-codon, and T loops).
Source: RNAcentral
UCCGGGAUAGCUCAGUGGUAGAGCGAUCGGCUGUUAACCGAUUGGUCCCUGGUUCGAGUCCAGGUCCCGGAG